UACGUAGGUGGCAAGCGUUGUCCGGAUUUACUGGGUGUAAAGGGCGUGUAGCCGGGUUGACAAGUCAGAUGUGAAAUCCUGCGGCUUAACCGCAGAACUGCAUUUGAAACUGUUGAUCUUGAGUACUGGAGAGGCAGACGGAAUUCCUAGUGUAGCGGUGAAAUGCGUAGAUAUUAGGAGGAACACCAGUGGCGAAGGCGGCUUACUGGACGGCAACUGACGCUGAGGCUCGAAAGCGUGGGGAGCAAACAGG
Molecule: ribosomal RNA, 253 nt
Filed under: uncultured bacterium
Lineage: Bacteria
Description: partial 16S ribosomal RNA
Rfam family: Bacterial small subunit ribosomal RNA
Source: RNAcentral